UACGGGGGGGGCAAGCGUUGUUCGGAAUUACUGGGCGUAAAGGGCGCGUAGGCGGCCAACUAAGUCAGACGUGAAAUCCCUCGGCUUAACCGGGGAACUGCGUCUGAUACUGGAUGGCUUGAGUUCGGGAGAGGGAUGCGGAAUUCCAGGUGUAGCGGUGAAAUGCGUAGAUAUCUGGAGGAACACCGGUGGCGAAGGCGGCAUCCUGGACCGGCACUGACACUGAGGAGCGAAAGCCAGGGGAGCAAACGGG
Molecule: ribosomal RNA, 253 nt
Filed under: uncultured bacterium
Lineage: Bacteria
Description: partial 16S ribosomal RNA
Rfam family: Bacterial small subunit ribosomal RNA
Source: RNAcentral